GGGCAGCAGCUGCGGUACUCCGGCGGGUGCAAGCGUUAUCCGGAAUCACUGGGUUUAAAGGGUGCGUAGGUGGUUUAGUAAGUCAGAUGUGAAAGCCCGGCGCUCAACGUCGGAAUUGCAUUUGAUACUGCUGAACUUGAAUCAGGUUGAGGUGGGCGGAAUGCGGCAUGUAGCGGUGAAAUGCAUAGAUAUGCCAUAGAACACCAAUUGCGAAGGCAGCUCACUGGCCCUGAAUUGACACUGAGGCACGAAAGCGUGGGGAGCGAACAGGAUUAUAUC
This 279-nucleotide ribosomal RNA is filed under the name uncultured bacterium. RNAcentral's name for it is "partial 16S ribosomal RNA". It matches the Rfam family "Bacterial small subunit ribosomal RNA", at positions 506 to 784 of the family's 1533-position model. The record is from RNAcentral.